Molecule: ribosomal RNA, 253 nt
Filed under: uncultured bacterium
Lineage: Bacteria
Description: partial 16S ribosomal RNA
Rfam family: Bacterial small subunit ribosomal RNA
Source: RNAcentral
UACGUAGGGGGCAAGCGUUGUCCGGAAUUAUUGGGCGUAAAGAGCGCGUAGGCGGUCCGAUAAGUCGGCUGUGAAAGUCUAGGGCUCAACCCUGGAAAGCUGGCCGAUACUGUCGGACUAGAGUCCGGAAGAGGCGAGUGGAAUUCCCGGUGUAGCGGUGAAAUGCGCAGAUAUCGGGAGGAACACCAAUGGCGAAGGCAGCUCGCUGGGACGGUACUGACGCUGAGACGCGAAAGCGUGGGGAGCAAACAGG